This 1372-nucleotide ribosomal RNA is filed under the name uncultured bacterium. Its description in RNAcentral is "bacterial SSU rRNA". It matches the Rfam family "Bacterial small subunit ribosomal RNA", at positions 28 to 1381 of the family's 1533-position model. The record is from RNAcentral.
GAUGAACGCUGGCGGCGUGCCAAAUACAUGCAAGUCGAGCGAACAGAUAAGGAGCUUGCUCCUUUGACGUUAGCGGCGGACGGGUGAGUAACACGUGGGUAACCUACCUAUAAGACUGGGAUAACUUCGGGAAACCGGAGCUAAUACCGGAUAAUAUUUCGAACCGCAUGGUUCGAUAGUGAAAGAUGGUUUUGCUAUCACUUAUAGAUGGACCCGCGCCGUAUUAGCUAGUUGGUAAGGUAACGGCUUACCAAGGCGACGAUACGUAGCCGACCUGAGAGGGUGAUCGGCCACACUGGAACUGAGACACGGUCCAGACUCCUACGGGAGGCAGCAGUAGGGAAUCUUCCGCAAUGGGCGAAAGCCUGACGGAGCAACGCCGCGUGAGUGAUGAAGGUCUUCGGAUCGUAAAACUCUGUUAUUAGGGAAGAACAUACGUGUAAGUAACUGUGCACGUCUUGACGGUACCUAAUCAGAAAGCCACGGCUAACUACGUGCCAGCAGCCGCGGUAAUACGUAGGUGGCAAGCGUUAUCCGGAAUUAUUGGGCGUAAAGCGCGCGUAGGCGGUUUUUUAAGUCUGAUGUGAAAGCCCACGGCUCAACCGUGGAGGGUCAUUGGAAACUGGAAAACUUGAGUGCAGAAGAGGAAAGUGGAAUUCCAUGUGUAGCGGUGAAAUGCGCAGAGAUAUGGAGGAACACCAGUGGCGAAGGCGACUUUCUGGUCUGUAACUGACGCUGAUGUGCGAAAGCGUGGGGAUCAAACAGGAUUAGAUACCCUGGUAGUCCACGCCGUAAACGAUGAGUGCUAAGUGUUAGGGGGUUUCCGCCCCUUAGUGCUGCAGCUAACGCAUUAAGCACUCCGCCUGGGGAGUACGACCGCAAGGUUGAAACUCAAAAGAAUUGACGGGGACCCGCACAAGCGGUGGAGCAUGUGGUUUAAUUCGAAGCAACGCGAAGAACCUUACCAAAUCUUGACAUCCUUUGACAACUCUAGAGAUAGAGCUUUCCCCUUCGGGGGACAAAGUGACAGGUGGUGCAUGGUUGUCGUCAGCUCGUGUCGUGAGAUGUUGGGUUAAGUCCCGCAACGAGCGCAACCCUUAAGCUUAGUUGCCAUCAUUAAGUUGGGCACUCUAAGUUGACUGCCGGUGACAAACCGGAGGAAGGUGGGGAUGACGUCAAAUCAUCAUGCCCCUUAUGAUUUGGGCUACACACGUGCUACAAUGGACAAUACAAAGGGUAGCGAAACCGCGAGGUCAAGCAAAUCCCAUAAAGUUGUUCUCAGUUCGGAUUGUAGUCUGCAACUCGACUACAUGAAGCUGGAAUCGCUAGUAAUCGUAGAUCAGCAUGCUACGGUGAAUACGUUCCCGGGUCU